Molecule: ribosomal RNA, 253 nt
Filed under: uncultured bacterium
Lineage: Bacteria
Description: partial 16S ribosomal RNA
Rfam family: Bacterial small subunit ribosomal RNA
Source: RNAcentral
UACGUAGGGGGCAAGCGUUGUCCGGAUUUAUUGGGCGUAAAGAGCGUGUAGGCGGUCAGGUAGGUCCGUUGUGAAAACUCGAGGCUCAACCUCGAGACGUCGGCGGAAACCAUCUGGCUAGAGUCCGGAAGAGGAGAGUGGAAUUCCUGGUGUAGCGGUGAAAUGCGCAGAUAUCAGGAGGAACACCAAUGGCGAAGGCAGCUCGCUGGGACGUGACUGACGCUGAGACGCGAAAGCGUGGGGAGCAAACAGG